AAUAUUGGUCAAUGGACGCAAGUCUGAACCAGCCACGUCGCGUGAAGGAAGACGGCCCUACGGGUUGUAAACUUCUUUUGUAAGGGAAUAAAGUCACUCACGUCUGACUUUUUGCAUGUACCUUACGAAUAAGGAUUGGCUACCUCCUUGCCAGCAGCCGCGGUAAUCCGGAGGAUCCACGCGUUAUCCGGAUUUAUUGGGUUUAAAGGCUGCGCAGGCGGAAGAUUAAGUCAGCGGUGAAAUUUUGCAGCUCAACUGUAAAAGUGCCAUCGAUACUGGUUUUCUUGAGUGUGGAUGAAGUAGGCGGAAUUUGUGGUGUAGCGGUGAAAUGCAUAGAUAUCACGAGGAACUCCGAUUGCGCAGGCAGCUUACUAGGCCAUAACUGACGCUCAGGCACGAAGGCGUGGGGAUCAAACAGG
RNAcentral lists this ribosomal RNA (419 nucleotides) under uncultured bacterium. RNAcentral describes it as "partial 16S ribosomal RNA". It matches the Rfam family "Bacterial small subunit ribosomal RNA", at positions 360 to 776 of the family's 1533-position model. The record is from RNAcentral.